GGUAAGGCCCACCAGGGGAGAUCCGUAGNGGGUUGAGGGGAGAUCAGCCACANGGAAUGAGACCGGUCCAGAAUCCUACGGGAGGCAGCAGUGGGGAAUAUUGGACAAUGGGNGCAAGCUGAUCCAGCCAUACCGCGUGGGUGAAGAAGGCCUUCGGGUUGUAAAGCCCUUUUGUUGGGAAAGAAAUCCAGCCGGCUAAUACCUGGUUGGGAUGACGGUACCCAAAGAAUAAGCACCGGCUAACUUUGUGCCAGCAGCCGCGGUAAUACGAAGGGUGCAAGCAGAAUACUCUGGAAUUACUGGGCGUAAAGCGUGCGUAGGUGGUUGUUUAAGUCUGUUGUGAAAGCCCUGGGCUCAACCUGGGAACUGCAGUGGAAACUGGACAACUAGAGUGUGGUAGAGGGUAGCGGAAUUCCCGGUGUAGCAGUGAAAUGCGUAGAGAUCGGGAGGAACAUCCAUGGCGAAGGCAGCUACCUGGACCAACACUGACACUGAGGCACGAAAGCGUGGGGAGCAAACAGGAUAGAUACCCUGGUAGAUACCACGCCUAAACGAGCGAACGGUAGUGGGUUCCAUGGCACCUAUGACCGUCCNANCGCCUGCCUUUCGUCCGGACCNCUCGCC
Molecule: ribosomal RNA, 624 nt
Filed under: Stenotrophomonas maltophilia
Lineage: Bacteria; Pseudomonadati; Pseudomonadota; Gammaproteobacteria; Lysobacterales; Lysobacteraceae
Description: bacterial SSU rRNA
Rfam family: Bacterial small subunit ribosomal RNA
Source: RNAcentral